This 2589-nucleotide long non-coding RNA is filed under the name Nicotiana benthamiana. Its description in RNAcentral is "long non-coding RNA (NBEN_LNC003008)". Lineage: Eukaryota; Viridiplantae; Streptophyta; Magnoliopsida; Solanales; Solanaceae. The record is from RNAcentral.
AAAUCGAAAACCUCAAGAACUUAGCUGGGUCAAACUCGAGGCCCAAAUAGGAGAAUCAUUGAUUAUUCAAAGCAAACUCUAUCACCAUAAUAACCCAAAAUCGAUUUAAAUUAAACGAAAAAGAAGAGUGGAUAAAAGGUCGACAUUAAUUUGAAACAACCCAUCUUGAGGCUGGGCCAACUCGAAUAUGGGCCCAAGCCACUCCCUAGAGCCUGUUACAACACUUACACGUUUUGAUGGUUCUAAUAUGCAUGCUAUUAAUCAACCUAAGAGGUCAAUUUCUGAAGUUUUACUCAAAGACUAAUCCUUACUCCUAUUAUCACGUGUAACAGUACAACUACGUGAAUUCUCAUUCAAAAGUCUUUGGAAAACAAUCCCAAACAACUAGAAUCAUUAAAUAGCUAAUUAACAAGCACUUUGAAUAAGAUAAAGUCCUAAAUUAAGUCUAUAUCAUAACGGUCCAAAAUCAAACACAUGACAUCAAGAAUUUAACCAAAAACUAAACUUGCAUGCGAAGCUAAAGUUUAACACAGCCUAUAAGUACUGUCAACAACAUGGGUAAAUUCAUAGAUCAUAUAGUAAAACCCAAUGUAAUGCAUAAAACAAGAUAGAUUUUAUACGAAAUCAACUAAUACUAUGCUUAAACUCCACAUUUGAUUACAUGCUUCAAUUUUGAGCUUUAAUAUUCAAUAAGGUCCAAAAGGGGUACCUGAAUAUCAAAAGAAACCAAAGAAAAUGAAGGUUCAGCAGUAGCAAUAGUGUAGAUUAUCAUAGCAAGGUUCAGCUCCUUAGACCAUAUUAACCCAGAUAAACAAGAGUUCCUUGAAGCUUUUUGAAUUCCAAUUAACACUUAAGACUAAGGAGCAAGAAUUAGAACCAAUUUCCACCCAAAAGAUGCAGAAAUUUUAAAGUAUUUUUUCAGAGUAGCUCUUUCAACCGCUUUUGAUUUUUAGUAUUCUGAUCUUUGACUCUAAACUAAAGAACAUGAGCCUUAUACAAUCGGCUCCUAGGGCAACAAAAUCUGAUUCUACCUUUCAUUAUUUACCCCUUCCUCAAUUUUAUUUUCAUUUUGGACCCUAAGUUGUAGCCUAUUUGCUAAGUCAGCCCGUUCCUCGGUUUCUUUGAAACUUCCUAGUUAGUUAGACCAGAUUCCCUCAAGUUAAAAUGACCUACGCAACCUUCAACACCCCUGUAUUUACCCUCAGGGGAUCACUCCUGGGUCAAACUAACCCAAGACCCAACCUAACCCACGGGCAUGUGUACUAACAACCCAAAUUAAAUCUGAGACCAUAAAGGAAUGUUAUCAGUCAUAAAUUUAAGCAAAUAAACCCCUGAAUUUAAAAAGACUUCAAAAGAGACACUUGGAAACAAUAAUUUAUAAACAAAAGCACUUAAACUAAUUGAGACUAUUAUUAGCAAAUACAGUCAAUGCAUGAGCCUAGUUUGACCUUUGAAAGAAUUAAAUUAACCAUCUAAACAAGGAGUCAAAUUAUACCAAGAUAAAAAUAUGAUGAUUUCAAUUAAAUGCCAAAAUAAACCCAAAUUAAAGAGAGAAAAGAACCGGAGCCCUAAUGACCUAAAAGCCUACUCAAUGUUACCCCCUAACCAACUGAUUAUCAUUAAGAAGCUUAAAGUCUGAAACCUAAGUCAUGUAAUUGGACAAGAACCAAAACUCAUGAAGAAAUAAACCGAAGAAAGAAGAGGAGAAAAUUAGAGGGAAACAAAUAACACAAAGUAAAAGAGAAUUACCCCCAUACUUGCUCAGACAGAACUCGAACAACUCUUUUUAAAGAAGCAAAUGAACCUUCGACUAUCAUUAAUCGAUUGUCCUUAGCAUGGGACAGUUGAUUAAUGAUGGUUUGGGGUUCAUUCGGCCACAUACUAACCCAAAAAAGAACAAGGGGUGAAACCUAGGGAUUUUUCAAACCCCUGCUUCAACGUUGAAAGGAGACGAAAGCACAUUCGAGGAGAGAAAGGGUGAAGGGUUGCAUGGUGUAAGCUUGGGUAGAUUUGGGGAUUUUAGGGUUUUGGGGUGUUGGACUUAGAUCUUAAUUUCGAGAAGCUUGGUAAUGGUUUGAGAAGAGUAAGUUGGGGAUUCGGGAUGAGUGGAUAGAGAGGAUUCCAAGGUGUUAAUGGCGGAGAUUGGAGGUCAAUUGCCGGUAGAGAUGCUCCAGAACAAUAACUCAUAACUUGAAAAAAAUUCGAGAUACAAUUUAUAUCUUCAAAGUGGAGGAAAAAGUGAUGAUUCUGGUAUAAAUCGUGGCACGACUAUAAAUAAGAUGCUUGUUGGGAGGCAACCUAAUUUUACUGGUUUCUUUUAUUUUUAUUUUUUUAUUUUUUUUAUUGUGUUACUUUGUAGUGUUGUUCUUAAUUAUGAAGAAGUAGGAGCAUGGUAAAUAAAUCCAUUAGGUGCGUGAAAAAUCAAGUGGAUGAUUGGAACUAAGUGGGGGAUGCUUGCGCAAAAGAUCAUACCUGAAGAAGUCUGAGUAUCCUUUGUGUUGCUAAUACUUCAACCAUUGACCUACCAUGGAGUCUCUUUUACCAUCUUGUUACUUAUGGUAUGUAUUGAGGGCAAUGCAGAAUUUGUUA